GUACAGUAACUCAGAACAUCUGUGGCCUGAAGCCAAGACCCAAACUAGACACCCGUGGAGUACAAAAGAUGACACGGCGGCAGGCUCACGAGAUGACAGCUGGGUGUUCACAGGCGAAUGACAACGGUGGACGUUAACUGCUGCAGAUGAUGGAUGUGGUUUCCUGAGAGGUUCCGGAGACACAGAGCCCUCCAACGUACAAGGGUGAAACUGAUGUAGAUGUUUAUGGGCAAGCUCAUGAAUUGUAACCCUGCUUUUUGGUGCUCAAAUGACAUAGCGAUAAUAAAAACCUAGGCAGAAAGGCCCAUCCAUUCCUGAGUCUGCAAACAGACAAAAUGAAGUGCUUUCUUCACAUGUCAGUAAAGAUCAGUCUCUCCGUGUCACAGUGGACCUGACUUCCUGAAAAUGACAGUUUCCAUGCCGUGAGAUCAGUUCAACAGCCAUGGAAGAUUUCCACCGUGUGUGUGUUAAUAUGUAUCUAUAUGAUCUUUUAAGGAAAACUGUGUUUUUAAGUCAAAGAUGAGGUUAAUUGGGCCACAUUUUAGAAGCCACACUUUGGGGUAAUGCCUCCCUGUUUUAAAUGACAUGAACCAAUUCCAUGUAAGCAAUUCCUCUGCCCUUAAAAGCAAACUAACAUUACUCCUGCUCCCU
Molecule: long non-coding RNA, 651 nt
Organism: Caretta caretta (loggerhead turtle)
Lineage: Eukaryota; Metazoa; Chordata; Testudines; Cheloniidae
Source: RefSeq, a predicted model, not a curated record